ACUCAGGAGCAGAAGGACCCGCGGACACCGAAGUGGCAGCGAGCCUGGCGCUAUUUCCGAAUCCGAGUUCCCCUGUGAAGUCAGCAGCGCACGCCCACCCGGGAAUCUGAGAACAGCGGAGUGAAAUGAAGGUGUCGGUUCGCUUCCGGGACCGGAACUCCGAGGCCCUGGGGCUGGGAUGCCGCUGAGCAGUUCUCGGGCGCACGUGCAGGGACCCUCAGCUGAAACAUACUCUUCUUUGUGAGAUAAACAGCAGGAGCUGGGAGAUGGUCAGGCUCACAGGAGGUCCCCCGCCACCACCUGUCAGCCGCCCCUCCCUUCACCCAGCCCUUGGGGGGCAGUGACGGGGAGGUCCCAGAAUGCCUCCAGUGCUUUCUCAGGCGGGCUCGUUUCUCAGGACCUCACUGCGGUGGAAGGAAGAUGGAUCUCUCCAUCCACCCCCUGCUUGCUUCUCCCGGAGGACUCUGAACAAGGCAGCGAAGUGAAUCACGCCAGCCCCUGAGCGGCCCGCUGAGAGACCCGUUCGCAUUCGGCCGAGCGGUCUUCGGGAAGGAGAGAUGCGGCCCUUCCGUGCCAAGGCCAUUCCCUGGCGCGACGGCUGGACUUGAGUCACGUGGCCUUUGCCUGGUCACUAGGUCCCGGGGCGCGGGGAGAGAGCCUGCCUGAGCCAGCGAACGUCUCGGGCACGCAGCGAUACAAAGGCACUUAGUGGACGUAACCAUCGCUGGACUCCUGUUCGUGCCCGCACAGAGCUGCCCUUGCGCC
Long non-coding RNA from Phyllostomus discolor (pale spear-nosed bat), 765 nucleotides. RefSeq lists it as uncharacterized. The record is from RefSeq and is a predicted model, not a curated record. The transcript is spliced from 3 exons. Lineage: Eukaryota; Metazoa; Chordata; Mammalia; Chiroptera; Phyllostomidae.